CAUGACACAGUUAAGAAAAAUAAUGAGGAAAGUGAAUCAUUAGCUACUAUGUCAUAAUGGUACAAAAAGAUUCCAAGUUACUGUCCAUAGGAGGCAAUGAUGCCACGUAAGCAACCUCCCUGCACUCUCCCAGGGGUUCACAGGGUGAAUUCAGUGCCAGAUAGCUGCUGACUGGGAGGGAGGAGGAGCAGGACCAGUAACGGGCACUUGAACGGUCCAUGAUGACUUUCAGAGUGCUUUUUGCUUGGAUGUACUCUGGCCAACUCGGAUGCCGCAGGGAAAGGUCCCAGCUCCUACCAAAUCCUGCAGUAGCUGAGGAAAUUGAGCACUUAAGCGACUAGUCUGUUGGCAUCAUUCCUGCUGAGCAGGUCAUCUUCUGUAGCUUGCAAAUCCCUAAAUCCCUCCUGAGACCAUGGAGGGGAGCAGACACAGCAGCAUCAAUCAAAAGACUGACAGCUGUGAUUCAUACUGAAGUGUUUCCUGCUAGAGCAGGAAAUGAGCUAAUAGAGCUAAUAGAGCUAAUGCAGGUGGCCUCUUCAGACAGAGGCUUUUUUUUUCUUUUCUUUUCUUUUUUUUUUUUUUUCCAGUUCUAUUAUGUCUUUCUUGUGGAAGGCACAGUUAUUCUUAUGUCUCCUUGUUCAUUUGGCUUGUUGGAGUAACCCUGCAGUAAAGGAUUGGAAAAACUUGUGGAUCUUCCCCUUUGGAUCUGCCUUGGGAGGUGGUUUGGACUACAGUGUGAUUUAUAUGUGCGGAGUGACAUACACCUGCUUACACACCAGCCUGGUUUGCACACCGGAGUCACGCUGGCUUAAGGUAGGGACAAGAUGCACCUUGGGGUGUCACUGAAGCAAGCACAGAGCUGCGGGAAGUUUGGGGAGAAGUGAGCUCCUGGGAGACUGGAAAAGACAUGGAGGAUGCUGAGCUUGGGUGAGAAAACAGG
This 940-nucleotide long non-coding RNA is filed under the name Anser brachyrhynchus (Pink-footed goose). RNAcentral describes it as "lncRNA (ENSABRG00000006052.1)". The record is from RNAcentral. Lineage: Eukaryota; Metazoa; Chordata; Aves; Anseriformes; Anatidae.